RNAcentral lists this ribosomal RNA (162 nucleotides) under uncultured bacterium. RNAcentral's name for it is "partial 16S ribosomal RNA". It matches the Rfam family "Bacterial small subunit ribosomal RNA", at positions 190 to 354 of the family's 1533-position model. The record is from RNAcentral.
UGAAGCGGUGUGAAAAACUCUGGUGGUAUACGAUGGUUCCGCGUCUGAUUAGCUAGUUGGUGGGGUAAUGGCCUACCAAGGCAACGAUCAGUAGCCGGCCUGAGAGGGUGAACGGCCACAUUGGGACUGAGACACGGCCCAAACUCCUACGGAAGGCAGCAG